AUUGAACGCUGGCGGCAGGCCUAACACAUGCAAGUCGAACGGUAACAGGAAGCAGCUUGCUGCUUUGCUGACGAGUGGCGGACGGGUGAGUAAUGUCUGGGAAACUGCCCGAUGGAGGGGGAUAACUACUGGAAACGGUAGCUAAUACCGCAUAACGUCGCAAGACCAAAGAGGGGGACCUUAGGGCCUCUUGCCAUCGGAUGUGCCCAGAUGGGAUUAGCUGGUAGGUGGGGUAACGGCUCACCUAGGCGACGAUCCCUAGCUGGUCUGAGAGGAUGACCAGCCACACUGGAACUGAGACACGGUCCAGACUCCUACGGGAGGCAGCAGUGGGGAAUAUUGCACAAUGGGCGCAAGCCUGAUGCAGCCAUGCCGCGUGUAUGAAGAAGGCCUUCGGGUUGUAAAGUACUUUCAGCGGGGAGGAAGGGAGUAAAGUUAAUACCUUUGCUCAUUGACGUUACCCGCAGAAGAAGCACCGGCUAACUCCGUG
This 490-nucleotide ribosomal RNA is filed under the name uncultured bacterium. RNAcentral describes it as "partial 16S ribosomal RNA". It matches the Rfam family "Bacterial small subunit ribosomal RNA", at positions 30 to 507 of the family's 1533-position model. The record is from RNAcentral.